This is a long non-coding RNA of Scylla paramamosain (green mud crab), 1027 nucleotides long. RefSeq lists it as uncharacterized. The record is from RefSeq and is a predicted model, not a curated record. Lineage: Eukaryota; Metazoa; Arthropoda; Malacostraca; Decapoda; Portunidae. The transcript has 2 exons.
ACUGGAAAUUCAGAAAUCUGGUCAUACAGCAGCUCCUGGCCAUGCCUCAGACCAUACUCACCUCAGCACUACACCACCUGUUAUUACUGCCUUUGAGUCCUCAAAAUUAUCUCACAUUUCCCCUUCCCCAUUAGUCCAUUCCUCAUCAUUCUCUGCACCAUCACCUUUUUUCUCCUCAUCCUUCUCACCUUCUGCUCACUCAUCAUCUCCCCCACAACCAUCACUCCCUCCUGCCUCUCCAUUUACUCAUCCUGAAGCCAUAUUUGCCAUGCACCAAACUUCUGCCACAGUUCACCCUGCUGAUCCCAGCCAAUUUAUCAUCAAGGACUCCACUUUCCAGGAGGCUCUGGAAUGUAACUCCCACAGAUGGCAGGGAAACACUGCAUAUCUUCCCUCCCACAACAGCGAUGCACUUAAUGAAUUGGGCCGAGAUAAUUAGUGAAAGCUUUCUGUGUUAAAGAGAUGCAGCUAGUGAGCCAAUAUAUAUACUGAUCAUUCAUUUAAUCCUUUAUGUCAUAAAACUUCUCUGAAAAAAUCUAGUGAAUAAUUUUUCCUCUAUCACUGCACUGUCCUUGAUCUAAAUUACAUAUUAAAACUACACAUGAUAGUGUAAUGAUCAGUAUGCUUGGCUCACAAACCACAUAUAUAUAUAUAUAUAUAUAUAUAUAUAUAUAUAUAUAUAUAUAUAUAUAUAUAUAUAUAUAUAUAUAUAUAUAUAUAUAUAUAUAUAUAUAUAUAUAUAUAUAUAUAUAUAUAUAUAUAUAUAUAUAUAUAUAUAUAUAUAUAUAUAUAUAUAUAUAUAUAUAUAUGCUUGGCUUUGUCUCCAAACUCUCCCCCAUAGAGAGACUGUAUUAACCUGCAGAAAUAAAGCUAUCAUUCAGGGAAACUGGUUUGUUUGCCAAACAAACAUUACAUUGCUGAAUAUUCUGUGGCACCAAAUGCUUUGUCAGGAAUUGUGGCAAUGAUAUUUCAAUCCUUGUCUUUGCAUCCUACAAUUUGUAUGCUGAACAUAAACCUUAUCAACAAG